This 72-nucleotide transfer RNA is filed under the name Camelus dromedarius (Arabian camel). It matches the Rfam family "tRNA". From Rfam's summary of the family: Transfer RNA (tRNA) molecules are approximately 80 nucleotides in length. Lineage: Eukaryota; Metazoa; Chordata; Mammalia; Artiodactyla; Camelidae. RNAcentral also lists the same sequence under 1 other name. The record is from Rfam by way of RNAcentral.
GGGGAUGUAGCUCAGAGAUAGAGCGCGUGCUUGGCGUGCACAAGGUCCUGGGUUCAAUCCCUGGUAAUUCCA